UAAGUAGACCGCCUGGGGAGUACGGUCGCAAGAUUAAAACUCAAAUGAAUUGACGGGGGCCCGCACAAGCGGUGGAGCACGUGGUUUAAUUUGACGCAACGCGAAGAACCUUACCAGGUCUUGACAUACAGGGAACUUUCCAGAGAUGGAUUGGUGCCUUCGGGAACUCUGAUACAGGUGCUGCAUGGCUGUCGUCAGCUCGUGUCUUGAGAUGUUGGGUUAAGUCCCGUAACGAGCGCAACCCCUGUCCUUAGUUGCCAGCACGUAAUGGUGGGAACUCUAAGGAGACUGCCGGUGACAAACCGGAGGAAGGUGGGGAUGACGUCAAGUCAUCAUGGCCCUUACGACCUGGGCUACACACGUGCUACAAUGGGCAGUACAAAGGGUUGCCAAGCCGCGAGGUGGAGCCAAUCCCAUAAAACUGUUCGUAGUCCGGAUUGGAGUCUGCAACUCGACCCCAUGAAGUCGGAAGCGCU
Molecule: ribosomal RNA, 476 nt
Filed under: uncultured bacterium
Lineage: Bacteria
Description: bacterial SSU rRNA
Rfam family: Bacterial small subunit ribosomal RNA
Source: RNAcentral